This 253-nucleotide ribosomal RNA is filed under the name uncultured bacterium. RNAcentral describes it as "partial 16S ribosomal RNA". It matches the Rfam family "Bacterial small subunit ribosomal RNA", at positions 524 to 776 of the family's 1533-position model. The record is from RNAcentral.
UACGGGGGGGGCUAGCGUUGCUCGGAAUGACUGGGCGUAAAGGGCGCGUAGGCGGCUUGCACCGUCAGAUGUGAAAUUCCCGGGCUUAACCUGGGGGCUGCGUUUGAUACGUGCGGGCUUGAGUUCGGAAGAGGGUCGUGGAAUUCCCAGUGUAGAGGUGAAAUUCGUAGAUAUUGGGAAGAACACCGGUGGCGAAGGCGGCGACCUGGUCCGAUACUGACGCUGAGGCGCGAAGGCCAGGGGAGCAAACGGG